GUGAUUAAUUAAAUGGCCGCGGUAUUUUGACCGUGCAAAGGUAGCAUAAUCAUUAGCCUAUUAAUUGUAGGCUUGUAUGAAUGGUUGGACGAAAUAUUAACUGUCUCAUAUUUAUUUUAUAUAAUUUAAAUUUUAAGUUAAAAUGCUUAAAUUUUUUUAUAGGACGAGAAGACCCUAUAGAUCUUUAUUUUUAACUUAUUUUUUUGAUUUGGUUUAUUAUCAACUUAAUUAGUGUAAUUAUUUUGUUGGGGUGACAUAGGGAUAGUUAAAACUCUUUAUUUUUUUUUUCAUUAAUUUAUGUAUUAUUUGACCUUUUAUUAUUGUUUUAAGAUAUAGAUACCUUAGGGAUAACAGCGUAAUUUUUCUUGAGAGUUCUUAUCGACAGAGUAGAUUGCGACCUCGAUGUUGGAUUAAGAUUAUAAUUAGGUGCAAAAGCUU
RNAcentral lists this ribosomal RNA (438 nucleotides) under Tisamenus sp. 8 SB-2020. RNAcentral describes it as "partial 16S ribosomal RNA". It matches the Rfam family "Bacterial large subunit ribosomal RNA", at positions 1915 to 2564 of the family's 2925-position model. The record is from RNAcentral. Lineage: Eukaryota; Metazoa; Arthropoda; Insecta; Phasmatodea; Heteropterygidae.